CAACAAGCUCGUUUUUUUCCCCCUUCUUUUUCUCUUGCUUGCCAGUCUUUGCUGUUGGUUAUGCGCUCAUUUACUGAGGCACCAUCCCGCAGACGCUUCACCCUAACUAUGCGUGGCGCCCCUGAAAAAUGCAGGCCGUGGAUUGUCCCUGCGUUGCCUGAAUGCCACAAUCUGCUUAUCCGUUUCCUGAAAACAGUUUUUUCUAUUCUUCUGCAGAAUUUUUUUUUCAUUGUUUUUUUUUUCUUCAAGUCAGAACUCGACUCCUGUUUAGAAGCCUCUUUUAAAAUUGUUUCUGUUUUCUGAAGCGGGAGCUUAGGGUUGAAGUAUAAGAAAAAAAGAGUGUCCGAAGAAUGGACAGAUGAAGGGGACAGAGGCAAAGAAUGAGGGGAAAAUGGAGAGCAUGGUCUGCGGGAGAAAGCGAGAAAGACAGAGAAAGAGAGGGAGAGAGAGAGGUAGGAGAAAGAGUACCGGCACUGGCAAGAAAAACAGGAGGGGGAAGAGAGAAGAAGGGGGACCAGUAGGGGAUAGACUUAGGAAGGAGGGACGGCUGGAUAGGAAUUGCCAAAAUCGCGGGAAAAAGGAGAAAAAACAAAACUCCAGAAUGAGGAGAAACUGGACUUCUCUUCAAACUUGCUUGCGCUCUCUGCUCGCCUUUCAUUUUUGGUUUUUGACAUGAUUUUUUAUAAUUUUUCCGGUCACCCCCCAUUCAUCUAUUGCGCCUCUGAGACAACCUGAACUUUUUCAUUGAAGAUGUGGUUUUUAUCAGGAAUGCCGUGGUCAACCAUAGAAGCUCCCCAGUGAGAAGAGAGCCAUGGGAAAAACCUCAAACUUGAUCCCGGUUGUGAGGAUGUGGUCCGGUCCAUUUUGCGCAGACGUCUCAAGACGAAAUAUUUCAUGUCGGACAGCAUCGUCACUGAUAAAAAAACGGUAACCAUCCAAUGUGACGUAUAAACUGUCUGUCACUUUAGAGUCUCUUUUUGUGAUAAGAUACGAUGCUACAUAUCUAUAAAUAGUUAAAAUUGUAUUUAUAUGCAGGUUUAAUGUCAAAAGUAAAUCUCACUGAGCUUAAAUAACAGCAUUAAAAAACAUACGUCACAGAAA
Micropterus salmoides (largemouth bass) is the source of this 1101-nucleotide long non-coding RNA. RefSeq lists it as uncharacterized. NCBI's taxonomy places the organism in Eukaryota, Metazoa, Chordata, Actinopteri, Centrarchiformes, Centrarchidae. The record is from RefSeq and is a predicted model, not a curated record. The transcript has 4 exons.